RNAcentral lists this ribosomal RNA (253 nucleotides) under uncultured bacterium. Its description in RNAcentral is "partial 16S ribosomal RNA". It matches the Rfam family "Bacterial small subunit ribosomal RNA", at positions 524 to 776 of the family's 1533-position model. The record is from RNAcentral.
UACGUAGUGUGCGCGCGUUAAUCGGAAUUACUGGGCGUAAAGCGUGCGCAGGCGGUUAUGUAGGACAGAGGUGAAAUCCCCGGGCUCAACCUGGGAACUGCCUUUGUGACUGCAUGACUAGAGUACGGCAGAGGGGGAUGGAAUUCCGCGUGUAGCAGUGAAAUGCGUAGAUAUGCGGAGGAACACCGAUGGCGAAGGAAUUCCCCGGGGCCUGUACUGACGCUCAUGCACGAAAGCGUGGGGAGCAAACAGG